GAAGACAUGAAGUUAGGUCAGCAAACCCGCUGAAUUUAAGCAUAUAAGUAAGCGGAGGAAAAGAAMCUAAAUAGGAUUCCCUCAGUAAUGGCGAAUGAACAGGGAUGAGCUCAGUAUGGAAAUUGGGGCCUGUGGCCUUGAAUUGUAAUCUGGAGAUGUACCACCAACUGGGGCGCAGAUGUAAGCCUCUUGGAAAAGAGCAUCAAUGAGGGUGAGAGUCCCGCUUGGCAUCUGCAGUCCCCAGUGCACGGUGUACCUUCUAAGAGUCACGUUCCUCGGGAUUGGAGCGCAAAUCGGGUGGUAAGUUUCAUCUAAAGCUAAAUAUAGUUUCGAGACCGAUAGCAAACAAGUACCAUGAGGGAAAGGUGAAAAGGACUUUGAAAAGAGAGUUAAAAGUGCCUGAAAUUGCUGAAAGGGAAGCGAAUGGAACCAGCGUAACUUGGCGAGAUUGCUGCGUGUCAAUGUGAUUGCUUGCUGCUUCAACGUAAGUGUUGUAGUAAGUCUUGAACAGGACAUGCGCGGUGCUUCUUGCCUUGUGUGUCACCGUCAAUUCGCAACUGGGGAAAACUUCAGGGACAUGGUAGCCUGUCUCCGGGUGGGUGAACGUGUUUGCUGGAACUCAUUUGCSGAUUGCUUGGYGACUAAAUG
RNAcentral lists this ribosomal RNA (648 nucleotides) under Scrippsiella cf. acuminata. Its description in RNAcentral is "LSU rRNA". It matches the Rfam family "Eukaryotic large subunit ribosomal RNA", at positions 1 to 510 of the family's 3401-position model. The record is from RNAcentral. Lineage: Eukaryota; Dinophyceae; Peridiniales; Peridiniaceae.